GGGAACUGGGGGGGAGUAGCGGGGGAGAGACGUAGGGGGUGAGAGGUGGGUGGGUGUAGGGGGCGGAAAGCGGACGGAGGCGGGCUGUGAAGUCAGGGUGGAAAUCCAGGGGUGUAACCCCGGAACUGCCUUGGAGAGUGGAAGGGUGGAGUAGGGUAGAGGUGAGUGGAAUUCCGAGUGUAGAGGUGAAAUUCGUAGAUAUUCGGAGGAACACCAGUGGCGAAGGCGGCUCACUGGACCAUUACUGACGCUGAGGUGCGAAAGCGUGGGGAGCAAACAGGAUUAGAUACCCCAGUAGUC
This 300-nucleotide ribosomal RNA is filed under the name uncultured Bacillus sp. RNAcentral describes it as "bacterial SSU rRNA". The stretch from base 61 to 300 matches the Rfam family "Bacterial small subunit ribosomal RNA", at positions 556 to 795 of the family's 1533-position model. The record is from RNAcentral. Lineage: Bacteria; Bacillati; Bacillota; Bacilli; Caryophanales; Bacillaceae.